Non-coding RNA from Macaca mulatta (Rhesus monkey), 1871 nucleotides. The record is from RefSeq and is a predicted model, not a curated record. NCBI's taxonomy places the organism in Eukaryota, Metazoa, Chordata, Mammalia, Primates, Cercopithecidae.
GGUGGGGUUAGAUGGAACAAACGGGCACUUGCUUCCCUCAAGGUCAGAAGGCACAGCUCUGCUGUGUGCCACACCUCGGGGGAGAUGGGGGUGGGGGGCUGUGGUGCCUGGGAAUGAGCUUGCAAACCAGAGGGCAGUCGUGAGCUCUGAUGUGGUCCCUCAGGAAGCCUGCAGAGUCAGCACUGAGUGUGCUGGCUCAGCACUACCUGGCUGAGCCGUUUCCGGCUCACACAGAACAGCAGCCACCACACUGGGCAUCCUGUAAGGGCAGCUCACUCACUCCCAGAUAAUGAGGAGGAGCCUGAGGCCCAGAGGGAGGCCACAGUUUGCACAGUCUUCAGGGGAGGCACUGAACACCAAAUUCACAGUCGCGCUCCAGGUUCUUGGGUGACGGAAGAGCAGGUUCUGGGAGCACCUGGCAAGGAGAAGGUGGCUGCCUGCAAUCAAGAGAAGAACCUGCCUCUUCCAGAACUAGCAGUGAUUUCUCAGUGGGGAGGAGGCGGUGAUCUCCAGGUGCUCUUUUGUUAAGUGAACUCUGGAAGCCAAACAUGACGACCUGCCAGUGUCUUGAUGCCAUGAGCCGAUGGCCAGCAAAGAGCUCUCAGGAGCCCCCUCGCUGCUCAGCAGACUGGGAUUUCAGGAAGAAAAGGCCACAUCCCUUCCCAGGACACCAGGACCAGCAACUCCUGGCAGUGGCCUCUAGGCUGCAGUCUUUUCUGAAAAACACUUCCAGCGUCCUCGGCUUGAGGUCAGGCUGUGCAAGGGAGGCAGUGCCCUGUGGGUCCCCAGACGACGUGGAAACAUCAGCCUUGAACCCUCAAAGAUGAAACAUUCCCAUGGGGCCAGUCAAGAGGGGCUUCUGGCCCUCAAGGGGUGAGGGUUUCUGUUUCCCCUCUUGCUAGAGACCAUUUUGAAAAGUCUCACGAGACUCUCUGAGAUCUGCAUUUCAAGCUCCAAAAGGUCUUUGUUAACAGUUUUCAUCAGUUUGGUGCUAAUGAGGCUGAGUUUGGAGAUCUCAGUGCCAUCUCUGCCCCUGGGCAUCUGCUUCCUGUGCUGCUGCACUCUGAGGUCUGUAAGAGGCACGCUUCUCAGAGGAGAAAGACCACGUGAAAAGCAAAGUUGGGGGGAGAGCCCGGUGUGCAUUCAUGCAGGCACACAGGCGAUGGCGGGGGCCCAAGGUGGCCCGGGGAUUCUCCCCCAUCCCACCCAAGGGAAGAUGCUUUGAAAACCCCUCCCCUUGAGAGUGGGAGACCCUGUGAAUAUGACAGAAUGGCAUUCUCAUGAUUAGGUGACGUUCAAUGGAAAAGAAGAUGGGAUUUUGCAGAUGUGAUUAAGGUUUCUAAUCCAUUGGCUUUUAGUUAAUCAAAAGGGAGAUUAUCCUUGUAGAACUCAUCUAACCAAGUGAGCCCUUAAAGCUAACGUUUUCCAACUGGUCUUUUAAAAACCUGUCAGCCAUAUGCUGACAACCGUCCCUGGCGGGGGGGCACAGGGCAAAAACUCCAAGAGCUGAACAUGGCCCCAGAACACAACCACCAAGAGAGUUAUGGUCAUUAAAAAUGGAAUUGUGUCAACAACGUGAAUUAUCUUAGAAGAAGACCCUGAGCCUUAGAUGAGAGAGCUGCCCAGCAGGCACAUCUAAUGCCCUGGUCAAUGGUGGAAGACCAAAUGCGUCCCUCCUAAGAGCAGGAACACAGCAAUCAGUCCCCUCCCUGCAAGCCUCAGCCUGGCGAGGCCCUGAGAAGAGGGCCCGGGUAGCUCAGACACGGACUCCUGACUCACAGGGACUGUGUGAUAUUCAAUGAUAUCAUAUUAUUCAUUCAUAUUGUUAUGUAGCUGUAUAGUAAUAUCAUAAACAUUCAUUCAUAUUAUUA